GCUGAAAGAUGGGCUCGCGCCCGAUUAGGUAGUUGGUGAGAUAAUAGCCCACCAAGCCGACGAUCGGUAGCCGGACUGAGAGGUUGAACGGCCACAUUGGGACUGAGACACGGCCCAGACUCCUACGGGAGGCAGCAGUGGGGGAUAUUGCACAAUGGGGGGAACCCUGAUGCAGCGACGCCGCGUGAGGGAAGACGGUUUUCGGAUUGUAAACCUCUGUCUUUAGGGACGAAACAAAUGACGGUACCUAAAGAGGAAGCCACGGCUAACUACGUGCCAGCAGCCGCGGUAAUACGUAGGUGGCAAGCGUUGUCCGGAAUUACUGGGUGUAAAGGGAGCGUAGGCGGGAAUGCAAGUUGAAUGUUUAAACUAUGGGCUCAACCCAUAGUCGCGUUCAAAACUGCAUUUCUUGAGUGGAGUAGAGGCAGGCGGAAUUCCUAGUGUAGCGGUGAAAUGCGUAGAUAUUAGGAGGAACACCAGUGGCGAAGGCGGCCUGCUGGGCUCUAACUGACGCUGAGGCUCGAAAGCGUGGGUAGCAAACAGGAUUAGAUACCCUGGUAGUCCACGCCGUAAACG
Molecule: ribosomal RNA, 576 nt
Filed under: uncultured bacterium
Lineage: Bacteria
Description: bacterial SSU rRNA
Rfam family: Bacterial small subunit ribosomal RNA
Source: RNAcentral